This 482-nucleotide ribosomal RNA is filed under the name Erwinia sp. 01WB02.3-21. RNAcentral describes it as "bacterial SSU rRNA". It matches the Rfam family "Bacterial small subunit ribosomal RNA", at positions 1 to 481 of the family's 1533-position model. Lineage: Bacteria; Pseudomonadati; Pseudomonadota; Gammaproteobacteria; Enterobacterales; Erwiniaceae. The record is from RNAcentral.
UAGAGUUUGAUCAUGGCUCAGAUUGAACGCUGGCGGCAGGCCUAACACAUGCAAGUCGAACGGUAGCACAGAGAGCUUGCUCUCGGGUGACGAGUGGCGGACGGGUGAGUAAUGUCUGGGAAACUGCCUGAUGGAGGGGGAUAACUACUGGAAACGGUAGCUAAUACCGCAUAACGUCUUCGGACCAAAGUGGGGGACCUUCGGGCCUCACACCAUCGGAUGUGCCCAGAUGGGAUUAGCUAGUAGGUGGGGUAAUGGCUCACCUAGGCGACGAUCCCUAGCUGGUCUGAGAGGAUGACCAGCCACACUGGAACUGAGACACGGUCCAGACUCCUACGGGAGGCAGCAGUGGGGAAUAUUGCACAAUGGGCGCAAGCCUGAUGCAGCCAUGCCGCGUGUAUGAAGAAGGCCUUCGGGUUGUAAAGUACUUUCAGCGGGGAGGAAGGCGACAGGGUUAAUAACCCUGUCGAUUGACGUAUCCG